Molecule: long non-coding RNA, 235 nt
Filed under: Populus trichocarpa (black cottonwood)
Lineage: Eukaryota; Viridiplantae; Streptophyta; Magnoliopsida; Malpighiales; Salicaceae
Description: long non-coding RNA (PTRI_LNC000829)
Source: RNAcentral
UUACUAACAUUUAUACAGAAACACUCGUAUCCUUUUUUGGCUCUUAAAACUCCACCCUCCCUCAGCUAUUAACCAUGACAAAUUCUAUACCUGAGAAACCCCAGAUAUAUGGAGAGAUGUUGAGCAGCCAUUAAAGGAUUACAAUGGAAGAAUCUCUUUUAGGGAUAAAGUAUUGGGAAAUAGAAGUCCCCUCGGCAUGUGAUAUGCAGAUCUUCUCGAGAGGAAUUUGGUGCAG